This 482-nucleotide ribosomal RNA is filed under the name uncultured bacterium. Its description in RNAcentral is "partial 16S ribosomal RNA". It matches the Rfam family "Bacterial small subunit ribosomal RNA", at positions 30 to 507 of the family's 1533-position model. The record is from RNAcentral.
AUUGAACGCUGGCGGCAUGCCUUACACAUGCAAGUCGAACGGUAACGGGCCUUCGGGUGGCGACGAGUGGCGAACGGGGGAGUAAUACAGCGGAACGCGCCCGAAUCUGGGGGUUCACGAGGCGUAAGGUUUGCUAACAUACCCUACUACCUCAGGCGGCCUGCAGGGGAAAGCAAGGGCUUUUGGGGCCGGGCCCGCCGAUGGCAGAUUAGGUAGUUGGAGGGAUAAAGGCUUACCAAGCCGACGAUCUGUAGCUGGUCUGAGAGGAUGAUCAGCCACACUGGAACUGAGACACGGCCCAGACUCCUACGGGAGGCAGCAGUGGGGAAUAUUGGACAAUGGGCGCAAGCCUGAUCCAGCCAUGCCGCGUGCAUGAUGAAGGCCUUCGGGUUGUAAACUGCUUUUGUUCGGAACGAAAAGCCUUCUUUUAAUACAGGAGGGUCAUGACGGUACCGAAAGAAUAAGCACCGGCUAACUACGUG